AUUAAUUAUUAGAACGGUCUCAGGCUGAAUUUUAUGAUCCCAGGCUGGUUCCAAAAGUCAAAUAUUAGCC
Molecule: ribosomal RNA, 70 nt
Filed under: Eimeria mitis
Lineage: Eukaryota; Apicomplexa; Conoidasida; Eucoccidiorida; Eimeriidae
Description: small subunit ribosomal RNA
Source: RNAcentral